This 427-nucleotide long non-coding RNA is filed under the name Anser brachyrhynchus (Pink-footed goose). RNAcentral describes it as "lncRNA (ENSABRG00000014180.1)". Lineage: Eukaryota; Metazoa; Chordata; Aves; Anseriformes; Anatidae. The record is from RNAcentral.
CCAAGACAUUCUAUAGUUCUGUGAUUCUAUAAUUCUGUGAUUCUGUGAUUCUAUGAUUUUAUAAUAGUAUGAUUCUGAUUCUGUGAUUCUGUGAUUAGAGUCCUGGUGUGGGCUCAAGCACUGAAGUGUGGUCAUCCAUGCUCUUAGCCCUCUGGCAGAAUGUGAGCUGUAAAUUAUUGGAGUUGUCUUCACCUGAAUCUGAAACACUGGGAAGAGUGGACCCUGCUGUGCAGUGGAAGAACAUUUGUUCCAGAUGCUGCACCCAUAAACAAGGACUUUUGUAUAUUUGGGGUACAUUGCUAAAACACAUUCAGUUUUGCUACCAGAUUUGUGGCAAAUCAGUAGAGAGGAAGAAACAAAGGCAUAGAAAGUAGCACAAAUGUAGAAUAUAAAUAAAAGGAAUUGAAGGACAAAGCCUUAAACUAAU